RNAcentral lists this ribosomal RNA (482 nucleotides) under biocide-degrading bacterium A2. Its description in RNAcentral is "bacterial SSU rRNA". It matches the Rfam family "Bacterial small subunit ribosomal RNA", at positions 40 to 510 of the family's 1533-position model. The record is from RNAcentral.
CGGGAUGCCUUAGCAUGCAAGUCGAACGGCAGCGGGAAAGUAGCUUGCUACUUUUGCCGGCGAGUGGCGAACGGGUGAGUAAUGUAUCGGAACGUGCCCAGUAGCGGGGGAUAACUACGCGAAAGCGUGGCUAAUACCGCAUACGCCCUACGGGGGAAAGGGGGGGAUCUUAGGACCUCUCACUAUUGGAGCGGCCGAUAUCGGAUUAGCUAGUUGGUGGGGUAAAGGCCUACCAAGGCGACGAUCCGUAGCUGGUUUGAGAGGACGACCAGCCACACUGGGACUGAGACACGGCCCAGACUCCUACGGGAGGCAGCAGUGGGGAAUUUUGGACAAUGGGGGAAACCCUGAUCCAGCCAUCCCGCGUGUGCGAUGAAGGCCUUCGGGUUGUAAAGCACUUUUGUCAGGGAAGAAAAGGUUUCGGAUAAUACCCGGAACUGAUGACGGUACCUGAAGAAUAAGCACCGGCUAACUACGUGCCA